RNAcentral lists this long non-coding RNA (1038 nucleotides) under Phasianus colchicus (ring-necked pheasant). RNAcentral's name for it is "lncRNA (ENSPCLG00000021258.1)". Lineage: Eukaryota; Metazoa; Chordata; Aves; Galliformes; Phasianidae. The record is from RNAcentral.
GUUUAAACUACUGAUCCAAGACAUUUGCUGCAAGCUAUUCUGGGGCAGUCCUGGAGAUCUCAUGUUACUCCCAUUUCUCCCAGAUGCCUGUUAAAUCAGGGUAAAUUCUUCACUCAUUUUAGAGAAAAUGAAGUGCUAACACAGAUCACAGGAACAGAAGAUUUAUUUAAGCGUUUGUCCCUCUUCGGAAGACAAAGUAGUAGAUUUAAGUUAGAACUGCCAAUAUGGAUCAUGCUGAAGAUAAGCAGUGUUGAAACCAGCACUGUCAGCCUUUCUGCAGGCUUGUCCUUGUGCUCCUCUGAAGAGGCUCUGGGCAGAGAGAAAAAAUUGAGGAAUCGAACCAGAACAAGUUGCACUGGGACUAAUAUGUGCAAAGAAGCAAACUCUACACUGAGAAGGUAACCAAGGAACAGGCCAAAUACUAGAAGUUUUCUUUCUUGAAACAUCAAAGAAGCAACACAGAAUGCAUCUUUCAUAUUCCAGACGUAUACAAUACUUCAGUGUCUUCCAUUCCUUCAGAUUCACUGCUAACAAGAUGAAAGCUAAGGUCUUGUGAGCAUAACCUAAGCCAUCUGUAAAGAAAUGGUAUCCCUUUGAGGUUCUCAGUUUGUUGGGAGGAGGGAAUUGCUUACAGGUUUGCUCUAUUUCAGCACACAGCUUUUAUGUAUAAGCAAUUGUAGAUUGCACAGCUAAGACUUGAUUUGGGAGCUUCCAGAGAAGGGAUGUUGUAGUCACACUUGACAGGCUGGUAUAGAAAGUCAUACACUGGUGCUGGAGAUGUUUCAUGAACUCUCAACCAGAAAAUGAAGAAGAAACAAGAAAUGUCUUAUGGCUUGAAAACAUGAAAGUUUGGUCUGAAAUAUUUACUAAACUGAAUAUAUAGAAUAUACUUAUGAAUUGUACAUGUGUAAAUUACAUAUAAUUGUUAGCCAAGGUACAGUUGUUGAUGUUAAUGGGAUAUCUGUAAUGUGUAUUUCAGCAGCAACAUCAUGCAAUAGAAAACAUUGCCAUCUUGGAGAAAGAAGUAUUAGAAUAGGA